UGGAAUGAUAGCUAUACAGCCUGGCACUCAGACAGACUAUUGUAAGAUGUGCCUCUGUUGCAAAGCUGUAACCUGCUUUAGAUAACGGGACCACUAUCCCGAGCGACCUCUGGCAUGUUGAAAGCUUUCAAAAUAUGUCUGUAAUCCCCGCCCAAGGCCACACCGACUCAACAGAUAGAACAAGGAGCGCAGACUCACCGGGAAUGACGCUAAUCUCAAUCACUGAUUGGACAAAUGUCCCAAAUUAAUGGAGCGAGGGCAGUUCCGGGAUUCCAACAUUGGCCUAGAAUACUAGCAAUUAGCCUCGGGACCGAAACGAACCCUUAAGUACUUGAAAACAUCAGCCCUGGAGGUCAGGGGGUGCCCUCCGAUUGCCCUCUUAGACAGCGACAGUGUGUGACAGAAGACUUGAGUGUGUGUGCAAAGAAAUAAAGAGGGAGAGAAAGAAGAGGACCUGCAGUUGUUUGUGGCUUUUUCUUCUUUCUGCGUGGCUCCAUUUCAAAGGGAUCAUGGGAAAAGAUGCAUGUUUACGGCGAAACCAUGGCGACACCGAUUUUAGGCUCUGUUUGGGAUGAAUUGAUUUUACCUGCGCUGUCACAAAGACUGAGAAAAACGGCUAGAUAAACAGCUAAUUGGUCCAGUUGACCCGACAAGACUGAUCUCAGCGUUCUUUCAUAUUGACGCAGUACUGAAAUACAACAUUUUAAAUAGCUUUUGUGUACAUGUUUUAAUGUUUGAAAAAGCUGCAAGUCGACUUGCAUUUUUGCUGGGCAGCUUUAAGACUGGCUUAAAGUUGAGAUUCCUGUUUGUCUCAACCGCUGCUGCCUCCGCAGGAUAUAGAGCCUUGAACUCUCCCCUUUGCAAGCGUUCUGUCGCACUUUUCUCUGUCGCACUUUUCUCUGUCUCACAAACACGCAUUUCAGGGCCUAGAUACACCUUUUCUAAGACCAGCGUUCAGUCGAUGGUCACUGCUCUGCUAGAGAACCCUGUUCUGCUGUUUCAUAGGAUGUCCUGUUACUACCUCCUAAUUUCUGCCCCACAUUUCCCUUACAAGAAUUUGUAAAUGGACAACUGUUAACACUCAAGCGCCGGGGAGUAAUAGCCGGGGAGUAAUAGCCGGGGAGUAAUAGCAAGUUAGUGUUCGAUGCCUGUGGAGGGUUGGUUUGUUGUCUCACAAGGUCAGAAAGUGGUUGUUCAAGCAGUUUGUUGUGUGUGUCCUUGUGGGUCUUUGUUGCACUACACAGGAGAGAUUCUGUUGAGAUUUAUUUAUAUUGUUGAACCAAAUAAGGUUACAUGAAGCCAUAUGGAAAUAUUUCAAAAAGUCGCAAUUGUUUUUGUAUCCUAAUGUAAAGUUUUUAAGCUGUGUAAAAGUUAUAUAGUCUAAUAUAUACCUGCAAAGUUCUACACACAUGUAAACAAAGGUGUAGACUUUACUAUAAAAUCAUUAUUUUAGUUUUUAAGUGGUUUUAUUGGCUGAAGUGCAAAUAUCUGGCUAGCUUUCUCUAAGAUGUUUCUCCCAAACGACUGCUUUGUGUAAUAUUACAAGUGCUGGUCCCUAAGAUCCUUCCCUUCUACCAUCAUGCUCCCUUAUCCCAUACGGACACUGAGGUGUUCCCUCUGACCCUUCCACCACCCUUCUCUUUAGAUAUACCCCUUCUACCCCUCUCUCUCCCUCUGAUGCCGGGGUUUAGUAGUGGGGGGCUAGGGGGAGAAGUGGGUGGCCCCGCCUCUUCUUCUCCCCGCCGGUUCCACCCCAGUCGCUAUGUACCCGUCUCCGCGGCAACCACCUUCCUGGUCGCCUCCACCACACUCUUCUUCUGCUUCACGUGUCCUUGGUUGUCAGAGCAUGUCUCCUCCGUCGUUCCCAUCUAUAACGCUGUGGUCUUCCUCUUCACCCUCGCCAACUUCUGCAUGGCCACCUUUAUGGACCCAGGGGUCUUUCCCAGAGCGGAAGAGGAUGAGGAUAAAGAGGAUGAUUUCCGCGCUCCGCUCUAUAAGACAGUGGAUAUCAAGGGCAUUCAGGUCCGGAUGAAGUGGUGUUCCAGCUGCCGCUUCUACAGACCGCCCCGCUGUUCACACUGCUCUGUGUGUGACAACUGUGUGGAGGACUUUGACCACCACUGCCCGUGGGUCAACAACUGUAUUGGGCGCAGGAACUACCGUCACUUCUUCCUGUUCCUUUUGUCCUUGACGAUCCACAUCAUGGGUGUAUUCGGCUUUGGCCUGCUCUACGUCCUCCACCACCAGCACCAGCUGGACAGGGUUCACUCUGCUGUCACUAUGGCUACAAUGUGUGUUGCUGGCCUCUUCUUCAUCCCAGUAGCAGGUCUUACUGGUUUCCACAUGGUACUGGUAGCUCGGGGUAGGACCACUAACGAGCAGGUCACAGGGAAGUUUAGGGGCGGCGUUAACCCUUUCACCAAUGGCUGUCUGAGGAACAUCUCACACGUGCUCUGUAGCGCUCAGGCUCCCAGGUAUGUGGGGCGGUGGCGGGGCAAACAGACAGCGGAGGUGCAGCCUCCCUUCCUCCGCCCACCUCUCUCCUCCGCCCAGCUAGAAGCCAAAGUCCUGGACAACGGAAUCCAGAACGACUGCCACAGCACCAGGUCUAAGAGCAGUUUAGAGCAGAUGGAGAGCCAGUCAGCUGAUGCAGAGCCUCCACCUCCUCCCAAACCGGAGCUCCGCUACCCUGGUCUGCCCCGCGCUGACACCGAGGAGAGCAGCUUGCUGUCUGACGGUCCGCCCACUCCAUCUAUGUACAAGUACCGGCCGGCCUAUAGCAGCCCACAGAUGAACCACACAGCUCUGACCCACCCAAACAAGAUGAUUCGUGGGGACAGUCAGGACUCUCCCUCCACCCUCCAGUGGAGUUGCCAGCCCAGCUAUCGGUCUGAGCCCAGCACCCUUGAUGGGGGGUCGAUAAUAAGUGUGGGGGUGCGUAGGGGGGGAGGGGAAAGGGGCGAGGGCCCCGGGGGAACCAGUGGGACGGGUGGUGGCGUCUCGGGGGGCAUCUCCGGGUACUCCCUAGGGGGGCGGUCAUACACUUCCUACCCCUCAUCUCUUGUCUUGUCCACCGGUGGCUCCCUCUCCUCCAGCAUGCGCUCUGCCCACACGCACCACAAUACUCUGGGCACGCUCCAAUCAGAGGGCACCACCGACACCAGCUACAAGAGCCUGGCCAAUCAGACACCUCGGAAUGGCAGCCUGUCCUACGACAGCCUGCUGACGCCGUCCGAGAGCCCAGAGUUUGAAUCGGCUGCUCAUGAGCUGUCCCCCCAGAAGCCCCACACCCCCGCAGCGUUUCCCCCGGCGACGACCUUCUCCUUGCCGGCCCCCGGGGUCGGGGAUGCGCCCCUGCAGGGGUACACCUCGCCCUUCCUCUCUGCACAGAUGGCCCAGCAGAGAGAGGGCCAGCUGCUCCAGGGCUCUGCCUCUUUCUCCUCCCCCCACAGGGCGUACCUUCGCGCCAUCAGUCCAGCCCUGCCGACUCCUCCCCCACACGCUGCCCACUCUGAGACACCGCACCUCCUUCACCAGGACACCAGACACCCACACCUCCGUGCCUCCUCCUCUCGCCCCCUUCCUCCCGUCUCUGAACAGCCCUCCCCGUCCUCCCCCCGUGCCUGUUCCCCUGACCCCCCUGUGUCCCCCCCGCCCCGAGGCCCCUCCCUGGGGCAGUCUCUCUCCUACACCCGAGAGGCGGGGCUCCAGCACAAGGCUCGGCCAAUGGGAGGAGGUGGUUUGUCGGGAGGGGGCGGAAUCAGAGGGAUCCAGGCUCCACAGUGAGUAGAGAUCUGAGCCGCAAGCCUGGUACUCUUCGUACUCCUCUUCCUCCCUGAUUGAUCUAUGUGAACCCUCCUCUUCCUCCCUGAUCUGUGUGAGUCUUUUCCUCCUCUUGAUAUCAAUCCACCUCUCGCCCAGGCUUGGCCAAUCACAGUACAUCUAAACCAGGGGGUGGGGUGAAAAAGGUGACUGGCGUCGGAGGGACAACCUAUGAGAUAUCGGUUUGAGUGACAGACGUCCGCCCCGGCCAAUGAUAGAAAGAAGAUUGUUCCACUGGACAGAUUCCAAUUUUCUUACUCUGAGGGCAUGAUGGAUGUUCACUAAAAUGCACCCACACAAUGAAUGGACUGUCCUCUCCUCUUGGUCAAUAUGGAGUCGGAUAGUGGAAUAGAAGUGUGUUGGCUCACUGGUAUUUCAAUGACCUUCCUAUCCUUAUAGUGCCACUGGCCAUCUUUAUCUGCCAAUCUUUCAUAUUGGAUAGAAUGGCAACUGAAGUGGAACUCAAUGUUGAUCAGUGUUGGAAUGGGACAACCUUACCUCGGCCUCUCUGUGAGCCAUAGACUGUAUAACAUGAAUGCUAUUAUGACUGCUGGGUACUAAACUCUCUCUAUAACACUUAUAUAAAAAUAUGAUUUGUUUUGGUACAUUAACACAUGGAGAAUUUAUGCAAUAAAAUAUAAUCCUGGAAGGAUGUAAGGCUUUUUAACCAAUCAGUAUGGAGCCUGAGAGGGAGCAUACGGACUGGUGACCAAUCGUGGCACUCUGUGGUUCAAGACUUCCUGGUCCAUCAUAUGGAUGGAUCAAUCACAAUGGAUCCCCACUCCACAGUAGUCAUUAAUUAAUUAGUCUGCAGUGAUUAUUCAAAGACUGUGCAGAGAUGAUGCCUCAACCACUACAAUUUCAUUUAAGUUUUCUAAAUAAAGCUUUGGUUUUUUUAAUUGUUUUAUAUAAAUGUCUAAAAAAAUAUUUUAAGAGUUAUUGGGUCAGAUGAUGAAGAUUAUAGUUUAUUUUGCUUUGUGACAAACUAUUAAUGUGAGUGAGUUCGACUGGUCGCUUGUUUUGAUUGAUGGCUGCUUCAGCCUGUCAUAGAUCUCGAUGGAAUAUUCAUCCAAAGUGAUGAUCCUCUCUGACGGACAGCUGAAGUGACAUCACUGAGGAUGUUGAAAGCCACAAAGAAAAUUGAAAUUCUGAAUCAUAAAUACAGCACAAGCCUCUUUGUGGAAUGUACACUCAAUGUUUUUUUAUUGCUACUUUAUUCAAAUUCUCUGUAGCUUUAAAUGAUUGUCCUUUUGAUGUUCGCAAUGUUUUCUGUCAAUCGAAUGCUAGAAAAACCUUAUAAAGAUGUCUAGCCAAAUGGGUUUAGGGUGGGAGGGGCUUAUUUAUUUGACCACACAGGGAAACCUUUUGCGCUCUUAACACAAUUCCAAACCGAUCUCUACGUUCUGGAGUUGGAUGACGUUGCCCCUACACAAUGGGGCUUUUUGACCCUAAUGGUUAAGUUUAGGACUAGGGGAUGUUAAGAUGAUCCUAGAUCUGUUCUCAGAAGGGUCAUUUAUAACCCAGAGCCCACAUCCCUGUCAUAGUGCCUUGUCCUUAGAUUCUAAUGUACUUGUACACUUCCAAGAAAUCAAAUUCUGGGGGGGUGGUUUUAUUUUCCAAGAUAAUAUGGUAUAAAUAUAGAUAUUCUGUAGUAAUGUCUGAUUGUUAAUAGAAAUAUGUAUGAUGUGUCUGGGGGGGGGUUGAAAUUGAGGACUGUUUUGAUUGUUUUUUUGCCUUGAGACCAUUUGUAGUAAAACUAAGCAUUUUGUUUUUUACAGUAUUGCUUAUGAUUACAGCCAGUUAAGAAUGUUAUAUUUUAGUUUGUUUUAUAGAUAUAUACUGGCCUCUUGAUUUCUUUAUUUUGAAUCUCUUUAUGGUACAAUUAACAUAUUGGCCACAAAUAGGUUUAGGAAGGCAUGGUCAGAAACACAGAGGUGUGGCAGGAGUGUGUGGGUGAGAGGUGGUGUUGUGUUUAAUCCAAAGUUAGAGUUGGAAUGUCAAAGCUAGCUGAAUGUAGCACAUGUUGUGUUCUGAAGCACACAAAGUAGACUAUCCCACCAACCAACCAAUCAAACAGCAGCAUGGGCAGUCAGUGUGUGUGUGUGUGUGUGUGUGUGUGUGUGUGUGAGAAUAUCCUUGCCAAAUGCACACCUGGUUGAUAUGUAUGAUGACAAUAGUUAAGCAUCAUAAUGGCACAAAAAGUCAGACAUACAGGACUGGAGAAAGUCUGACUGUUACUUUGGUGGUGAAUAAGUGAAUAUACAUGAGUAAAUUAGAAUACUAUUGUUGUAAGCUGUGCUGAAUGGAAAGAGAGUCCCAAAUUACUUCAAUGAUGAAUAUGAAAAAGACAGUUCCAAAAUGGCCUUACGAGGAGGUUUUUAAAGAUGUCUUCUCAGAUUAAAAGGUUGCCCUGAUGGAAAAA
Molecule: non-coding RNA, 6244 nt
Organism: Salmo salar (Atlantic salmon)
Lineage: Eukaryota; Metazoa; Chordata; Actinopteri; Salmoniformes; Salmonidae
Source: RefSeq, a predicted model, not a curated record